This 257-nucleotide ribosomal RNA is filed under the name uncultured bacterium. Its description in RNAcentral is "partial 16S ribosomal RNA". It matches the Rfam family "Bacterial small subunit ribosomal RNA", at positions 519 to 775 of the family's 1533-position model. The record is from RNAcentral.
GGUAAGACGGAGGAGGCUAGCGUUAUUCGGAAGUACUGGGCGUAAAGCGUGCGCAGGCGGUUUGGAAAGAAAGGUGUGAAAUCCCAGAGCUUAACUUUGGAACUGCACUUUUAACUGCCAAGCUAGAGUAUGUCAGAGGGGGGUAGAAUUCCACGUGUAGCAGUGAAAUGCGUAGAGAUGUGGAGGAAUACCGAUGGCGAAGGCAGCCCCCUGGGAUAAUACUGACGCUCAUGCACGAAAGCGUGGGGAGCAAACAG